Molecule: ribosomal RNA, 440 nt
Filed under: uncultured bacterium
Lineage: Bacteria
Description: partial 16S ribosomal RNA
Rfam family: Bacterial small subunit ribosomal RNA
Source: RNAcentral
CCUACGGGGGGCAGCAGUAGGGAAUAUUGCUCAAUGGGGGAAACCCUGAAGCAGCAACGCCGCGUGGAGGAUGAAGGUUUUCGGAUUGUAAACUCCUUUUGUUAGAGAAGUCAAUGACGGUAUCUAACGACUAUUCCCCGGCCAACUCCGUGCCAGCUGCCGCGGCAACACGGAGGGCGCAAGCGUUAUCCGGAAUUACCGGGCGUAAAGGGCGCGUAGGCGGGUUGGCAAGUCAGUUGUGAAAUGCUUUGGUUUAACCGUAGAACUGCAGUUGAAACUGUUAUUCUAGAGUUUGGGAGAGGUAGGUGGAAUUCUUGGUGUAGAGGUGAAAUCCGUAGAGAUCAAGAGGAAUACUCAUUGCGAAGGCGGCCUGCUAGAACAUAACUGACGCUGAUGCGCGAAAGCGUGGGGAGCAAACAGGAUUAGAUACCCUAGUAGUC